Molecule: long non-coding RNA, 1061 nt
Organism: Hydra vulgaris (swiftwater hydra)
Lineage: Eukaryota; Metazoa; Cnidaria; Hydrozoa; Anthoathecata; Hydridae
Source: RefSeq, a predicted model, not a curated record
AACCAAAAAAAAAAACUUUAAAUAAAAACGCUUGAUGUAGCCUUAGGAUAUUCGUAAAAAACUGUGGAAAGUUUCGUCAUCGAAAACCAUUUAUAUAACUUCAUGAAACAUUUAUAAUAUUUUGAUAGAUGACUAAUUAAAGUUUUUACUGUAGCUAGUCAAGUUAAAAAGUGUAAUUAAAAAAUCAAAUAUUUAUGUUUAUUAUCUAUUUAUGAAUAUGUGCAUUUUCGUAUAAAUAUGUUACCAAAAAAAAAAAAAAUUAAGUUUUUUUUAUAUUACAAUGUUAAGUUGCUUUUUUGCAGAUAUUAGUGACUAUUUUUUGAAAUAUAAGUAUUGUAUCGAACUAUAUUUACUACGAUAGAAAGAUAAAAAGAGUGGCCUGGUGUACCGCUGUCUGCUAAUAACUUGUAAAUUUCAUUGAUCAACGAGUAAACCAAACAAACAAACAAUAUUGACGACUUGAUUGUUGUAGACACUAUAAUCAAGAAAAAAUUUUAUCCGAACAAAAAAAUUUAUAAAAGUUACAGGAUCAGCAUAGUCAUUUUGCUACUGGAUUAUUACGGAACUAUUUUUGAGAUCAUGAAGGAAAUACACACGGUACUUUUAUUUUUUGCUUAUGGUGAUAACGCAGAGCCCAUCACAUUUUGACAAUCACAAAUCAAUGGCAAAAAGUAAUUUGUUACAAAAAUUAAAAGCUAAAAUGUGAUCUUUCAAUAUAGGUGGCAUUCUUGGUCAGCUAGAUUGGCAAAUUCCAGAAUCCAUAAAAAUUGGUGCAGCUGUAGAACAGUGGUUAUAGUUUUUGCUCAGAAGCAAGUGGUUUGAAGUUCAACGUCAUUUCGAACCUCGAAUUUCAAUAGUUGUUAUUAAAUUGUGAUUUUGGCUGUUGCUGGGCCAUUUCAACACAAUAAAUUUUUUGCUCACGAAAGAUGACAUUAAAUGUUUCCAUCUAGAACAACCUGUGCCAUCUUAAUUAAUGAAAGUAAAUUGAUCAAUUUCAAAAAAGUGUAUAGAUUUUUGUUUAACAUCUUAAACAGUGUUCAGAUUUUAUUUUUUUAUGUUUA